AUUGAACGCUGGCGGCAGGCCUAACGCAUGCAAGUCGAACGGUAGCACAGAGAGCUUGCUCUCGGGUGACGAGUGGCGGACGGGUGAGUAAUGUCUGGGAAACUGCCUGAUGGAGGGGGAUAACUACUGGAAACGGUAGCUAAUACCGCAUAACGUACGCAAGACCAAAGAGGGGGGACCUUCGGGCCUCUUUAGCCAUCAGAUGUGCCCAGAUGGGAUUAG
Molecule: ribosomal RNA, 222 nt
Filed under: uncultured bacterium
Lineage: Bacteria
Description: partial 16S ribosomal RNA
Rfam family: Bacterial small subunit ribosomal RNA
Source: RNAcentral